AUAUUUAAAUGGCAAGUAUAUAGAAAUAUAUAUACGCAAAGUUGCAUAACUAAGGAUUACUCUAUGUUGGAUGGACUACAAUA
RNAcentral lists this non-coding RNA (83 nucleotides) under Mollicutes bacterium. Its description in RNAcentral is "c-di-GMP sequence". It matches the Rfam family "c-di-GMP-I riboswitch aptamer". Rfam says of the family: GEMM was predicted in a large-scale screen for bacterial structured RNA regulatory elements. RNAcentral also lists the same sequence under 1 other name. The record is from RNAcentral. Lineage: Bacteria; Bacillati; Mycoplasmatota; Mollicutes.